This 253-nucleotide ribosomal RNA is filed under the name uncultured bacterium. RNAcentral's name for it is "partial 16S ribosomal RNA". It matches the Rfam family "Bacterial small subunit ribosomal RNA", at positions 524 to 776 of the family's 1533-position model. The record is from RNAcentral.
UACGUAGGUGGCAAGCGUUGUCCGGAUUUACUGGGCGUAAAGAGCGCGCAGGCGGUCGGUCAAGUCGAGUGUGAAAGCCCCCGGCUCAACUGGGGAGGGUCACUCGAUACUGCUCGACUCGAAGGCGGGAGAGGGAGGUGGAAUUCCCGGUGUAGUGGUGAAAUGCGUAGAUAUCGGGAGGAACACCAGUGGCGAAGGCGACUUCCUGGCCCGUUCUUGACGCUGAGGCGCGAAAGCUAGGGGAGCAAACGGG